UACGGAGGGUGCGAACGUUAAUCGGAAUCACUGGGCGUAAAGCGCGCGUAGGCGGUCUGUUAAGUGGGAUGUGAAAUCCCCGGGCUUAACCUGGGAAUUGCAUUUCAAACUGGCCGACUAGAGUACGGUAGAGGGAGGUAGAAUUUCCUGUGUAGCGGUGAAAUGCGUAGAUAUCGGGAGGAACAUCAGUGGCGAAGGCGGCCUUCUGGUCCAGUACUGACACUCAAGUGCGAAAGCGUGGGGAGCAAACAGG
This 253-nucleotide ribosomal RNA is filed under the name uncultured bacterium. Its description in RNAcentral is "partial 16S ribosomal RNA". It matches the Rfam family "Bacterial small subunit ribosomal RNA", at positions 524 to 776 of the family's 1533-position model. The record is from RNAcentral.